Molecule: ribosomal RNA, 484 nt
Filed under: uncultured bacterium
Lineage: Bacteria
Description: bacterial SSU rRNA
Rfam family: Bacterial small subunit ribosomal RNA
Source: RNAcentral
CUCAGAUUGAACGCUGGCGGAAUGCUUUACACAUGCAAGUCGAACGGUAGAGGGGGCAACCCUUGAGAGUGGCGAACGGGUGAGUAAUAUAUCGGAACGUGCCCAGUCGUGGGGGAUAACGUAGCGAAAGUUACGCUAAUACCGCAUACGAUCUAAGGAUGAAAGCGGGGGAUCGCAAGACCUCGCGCGAUUGGAGCGGCCGAUAUCAGAUUAGGUAGUUGGUGAGGUAAAGGCUCACCAAGCCGACGAUCUGUAGCUGGUCUGAGAGGACGACCAGCCACACUGGGACUGAGACACGGCCCAGACUCCUACGGGAGGCAGCAGUGGGGAAUUUUGGACAAUGGGCGCAAGCCUGAUCCAGCAAUGCCGCGUGCAGGAUGAAGGCCUUCGGGUUGUAAACUGCUUUUGUACGGAACGAAACGGUGAGCUCUAAUACAGUUUGCUAAUGACGGUACCGUAAGAAUAAGCACCGGCUAACUACGUG